Nematostella vectensis (starlet sea anemone) is the source of this 995-nucleotide long non-coding RNA. RefSeq lists it as uncharacterized. Lineage: Eukaryota; Metazoa; Cnidaria; Anthozoa; Actiniaria; Edwardsiidae. The record is from RefSeq and is a predicted model, not a curated record. The transcript is spliced from 2 exons.
UUUUCAACUUACCGAGGAAAAAAAAAAUAAUUCAACCCCUAUUGCCAAUAUGUAUUGUUGUUAUUGCAGUCUCGUACCCAGACGCCGCGCGAUGCAUGACGGUCAGGAUGCGGUUUCGGGGUCGGAAUUCGCUUGACGUCUGGCAGAACUCAGGAAAUAUCUUGCAAGUUUUUCAAACAUCUAGCAAGCAGCGUUUUUACGACCUUUUUUUUUUACUUUUUUUGCGCACAAGUCCAAGGGCCUACCUACACACACUCGUUGUAAACCAUUUAGUUUUAUUUUCGGUGGUUUCUUGUUCAAUUCUAGACGAUAUUUUCGUUUCGUAAAACGCAAGACUGCGGACGACACUGGUGAGCUCGAUACAUUAUUUCAUGAAAUGAAUUUGGAUGGUCUGAGUGUUCUGGCACUCAUUUGAACUCAUACUGCUCCGGUUGGAUUGUAUUUAUCACAAAUAUACACUUUCAGAUAUAUAAUUCGAGCACAUACUGUCUUUAUGUUCCCUAGAAGAAGCUCAAUAGCGGCGAGGAAGUCACUAUUCGCACAUGACCUUACGCCGAAUUCCAAACUCCACUAAGCUAUUUCUGCAGUUGUCAUGUGCACAUGGAAUUUCACAGGCAAGAAAUGCAGUAUGGAUAGGUCCUUCUUCGUCUGUGAAAAUUCGUAACAUUUUUGCUCGCCGAUUUCGUCCGCCAUCUUGGAUCUGUAAUCUGCCAGUCGUUAUUUUUUUCCAUCCUCGCUUCAGGAUUCCUGUGGAUGUCCACGCAACAGCAGAUAACGACUGGGGACUAGCUGAGGGCCAAGAGGAAUGCUAAAGACUGGAAGACAUGAGAAUUGAAAAUCAUGUCUUGAAAGAUAACAGUAGGGAGUUCUUAUUCACUAGUCAUUUGAUACCACCCCACACAUGGUCCCAGGAAAGGGUGGGGGAUUAGACUUUAAUAAAUGCCUGUUACCAAGUUAAGAGUAAAAAACAGUCAAUACCACCACCCCUCUUUAUA